Molecule: small nucleolar RNA, 136 nt
Organism: Pseudoliparis swirei
Lineage: Eukaryota; Metazoa; Chordata; Actinopteri; Perciformes; Liparidae
Source: RefSeq, a predicted model, not a curated record
AGCGGCUCCUAUCGAAGCCGUUCGUGCUCUCCAGUAGCACUGAUCGGUCAACUGUGAGCCAAGAGGAAAACUUUACCGACGGUCGCUGUUCAGUUUGAAGUAACUGUUUAAAGCAACAUAAUGGGAAAGGACAGCU